RNAcentral lists this ribosomal RNA (537 nucleotides) under uncultured Acidobacteriota bacterium. RNAcentral describes it as "bacterial SSU rRNA". It matches the Rfam family "Bacterial small subunit ribosomal RNA", at positions 13 to 529 of the family's 1533-position model. The record is from RNAcentral. Lineage: Bacteria; Pseudomonadati; Acidobacteriota.
UUGAUCCUGGCUCAGAAUCAACGCUGGCGGCGUGCCUAACACAUGCAAGUCGAACGCGAAAAUCCCGCAAGGGAUCAGUAGAGUGACAAACGGGUGAGUUACACGUGGGUGACCUGCCUUCGAGCGGGGGAUAACGUCCCGAAAGGGACUCUAAUACCGCAUGACAUCCUGCCUUUGAAGAGGUGGAGAUCAAAGCUGGUGAUCGCAAGACCUAGCACUCGAAGAGGGGCCCGCGCCUGAUUAGCUAGUUGGUGGGGUAACGGCUCACCAAGGCAACGAUCAGUAUCCGGCCUGAGAGGUCGGACGGACACACUGGGACUGAGACACGGCCCAGACUCCUACGGGAGGCUGCAGUGGGGAAUUGUUCGCAAUGGGCGCAAGCCUGACGACGCAACGCCGUGUGGAGGAUGAAGACCUUCGGGUCGUAAACUCCUUUCGAUCGAGACGAAUGGUCUCCGGGUGAACAAUCCGGAGAAGUGACGGUACCGAGAGAAGAAGCUCCGGCUAACUCCGUGCCAGCAGCCGCGGUAAUAAGGU